This 460-nucleotide ribosomal RNA is filed under the name uncultured bacterium. Its description in RNAcentral is "partial 16S ribosomal RNA". It matches the Rfam family "Bacterial small subunit ribosomal RNA", at positions 338 to 795 of the family's 1533-position model. The record is from RNAcentral.
CCUACGGGAGGCAGCAGUGAGGAAUAUUGGUCAAUGGACGAGAGUCUGAACCAGCCAAGUAGCGUGAAGGAUGACUGCCCUAUGGGUUGUAAACUUCUUUUAUAUGGGAAUAAAAUGUUCCACGUGUGGGAUUUUGUAUGUACCAUAUGAAUAAGGAUCGGCUAACUCCGUGCCAGCAGCCGCGGUAAUACGGAGGAUCCGAGCGUUAUCCGGAUUUAUUGGGUUUAAAGGGAGCGUAGGUGGAUUGUUAAGUCAGUUGUGAAAGUUUGCGGCCUAACCGUAAAAUUGGAGUUGAAACUGGCAGUCUUGAGUACAGUAGAGGUGGGCGGAAUUCGUGGUGUAGCGGUGAAAUGCUUAGAUAUCACGAAGAACUCCGAUUGCGAAGGCAGUUCACUGGACUGCAACUGACACUGAGGCUCGAAAGUGUGGGUAUCAAACAGGAUUAGAUACCCGGGUAGUC